UACGGAGGGGGCUAGCGUUGUUCGGAAUUACUGGGCGUAAAGCGUACGUAGGCGGCUUUGUAAGUUAGAGGUGAAAGCCCGGGGCUCAACUCCGGAAUUGCCUUUAAGACUGCAUCGCUUGAAUCAUGGAGAGGUGAGUGGAAUUCCGAGUGUAGAGGUGAGAUUCGUAGAUAUUCGGAAGAACACCAGUGGCGAAGGCGACUCACUGGACAUGUAUUGACGCUGAGGUACGAAAGCGUGGGGAGCAAACAGG
This 253-nucleotide ribosomal RNA is filed under the name uncultured bacterium. Its description in RNAcentral is "partial 16S ribosomal RNA". It matches the Rfam family "Bacterial small subunit ribosomal RNA", at positions 524 to 776 of the family's 1533-position model. The record is from RNAcentral.